CUUCUUCAUGUCUAAGAGAGAGAAACUGAUUUAGGGCUUCAAAAAGAGCUUGAGCCUCUGCCAUGGACACCGAAGACAGCCACUGUUCGUGCAGCUCCAUCCAGCAAUUUCCCGGUGGAAUAUCGAUAUACACACGCCACAUAACCUUCCAUCUCCCCAGAUUUGCUCGAAUCGGGGUUCCACCUUCUAAAACUCUGCAAUCCUGCUAAGGCUGUGGGUGGAGUUUUUUCCCCCCAAAAAUGGUGUGGUUGCGCGACUUCCAGAUUUGCCAUAGAACCGCGGCUAUCGUCUCCAAAUCUGCCUUGGGUGUUCCCAAACAUCCUUCGUCCAAGGGCAUAACAGAAACAGAUGCUCAACAGUUUCCACCCUUUGAUUGCACAGAGAGCAUAUUGGGUCGGGUACAAUCUUUCUGCGAAAUAAGUUAUCCUGUGUUGGGAGUGCGUUUUGGCAUAGAUUCCACAUAAAUAUUCUGACUUUGGGAGGAGUAUGUAGAUUCCAUAUAUCUGUCCAUAGAGUACGAGGGGGUUGGAAUGAUGUUGACGCAUGGCUUCUGUUCUCUUUUGCCCCUUUCACUCGGAUGUAGUUGUAUCCACUUUUAACAGUGUACUUACCUGCUUGUGUACCCGUCCAUAUGAGCUGGUCAUUCUCAGUUUGAGGCUUAAUUGGGAUUGCGAGAACUUCACGUA
Molecule: long non-coding RNA, 686 nt
Organism: Syzygium oleosum
Lineage: Eukaryota; Viridiplantae; Streptophyta; Magnoliopsida; Myrtales; Myrtaceae
Exons: 3
Source: RefSeq, a predicted model, not a curated record